This 1098-nucleotide long non-coding RNA is filed under the name Ursus thibetanus thibetanus. RNAcentral's name for it is "lncRNA (ENSUTTG00000003816.1)". Lineage: Eukaryota; Metazoa; Chordata; Mammalia; Carnivora; Ursidae. The record is from RNAcentral.
AUGUCUUCGUCAGCACCCCCUGGUUCUCUGUGUGACUGUGUGUUUCUCCCCCGCAUUCGGGUGGACUUCCUGAGAGCCGACGGCUCUUCCGCGGCGUCCGCUUGCUGGGGAGAGGGCUUGAGUCGCCUCCUUCUACUGGUUGGCUUGUUGACUGGCUCUGCUAGUGGAGAUGUGCAGGGGACUUUGGUGGUUUUGUCUUCAGUCACUAGGUCCUGGGUGUGCUCUGGGGUUUGGAGGAGCUCUCUGAGGCCAGCCAGGUCUUCUAGGGACUGCGCAUUUUUCUUGGCUGUUCUUGACUGCCUCUUGCUUCCAGUUACAUUUUCUGCAGAGUCUAGUUUCUGCUUUGCAGUUUUAUUCAACAAUUUGUUAUCUUCAUCAGCACCCCCUGGUUGUCUGAGUGACUCUGUGUUUCCCCUCCGCGUUCGGGUGGACUUCCUGAGAGCCGACGGCUCCAGCGCUGCAUCCGCUUGCUGGGGAGAGGGCUUGAGUCGCCUCCUUCUGCUCAUUGGCUUGCUGACUGGCUCUGCUAGUGGAGAUUUGCAGGGGACUUUGGUGGUUUUGUUAUCAGUCACCAGGUCCUGGGUGUGCUCUGGGGUUUGGAACAGUUCUUUGAGACCAACCAGGUCUUCUAGGGAAUGGACCAUUUUCUUUGGCGCUCGUGGCCGCCUCUCGCUUCCAGUUACAUUUUCUGCAGGGUUCAGUUUCUGCUUUGGGGUUUCCUUGAACUGUCUGAUGGCUUCAUCCCCACCUCCUGGUUCUGUGUAUGUGUGUGUGGCUUCCCUUGGCGUUUGGGUGGGCUUCCCGAGAGGGGAGAGCUCCUUCUCUAAGUCCACCUUCCCCAGAGGUAUCUUCAGACAUCUCUUCAUGUGGGUUGGUGUGUUGACUGCUUCUGCUAGUGGAGAUUUGCAGGGCAUCACUGCAGUUUGGACAACAGCUGUUAGUUCCUUGGUGUGCUCUGGGGUUUGGAAGAGCUCUUUAAAACCGACCAUGUCUCCUAGGAAUUGGGCCUUUUCCUUACCUGCUCUUAUCCAUUUCUUGCUUCCAGUUACAUUUUCUACAUGGUCUGGCUUCUUCUCUGGAGUUUCUUUAAACAAGUGA